Molecule: ribosomal RNA, 429 nt
Filed under: uncultured bacterium
Lineage: Bacteria
Description: bacterial SSU rRNA
Rfam family: Bacterial small subunit ribosomal RNA
Source: RNAcentral
UCGAGAAUCUUUCGCAAUGGGCGCAAGCCUGACGAAGCGACGCCGUGUGAGCGAAGAAGGCCUUCGGGUUGUAAAGCUCUUUCGCUAGGGAACAAGAGAGACGUAGUAAUAUUGCGUCAAUUUGAUGGUACUUGGUAAAGAAGCACCGGCUAACUCCGUGCCAGCAGCUGCGGUAAUACGGAGGGUGCAAGCAUUGAUCGGAAUUACUGGGCGUAAAGGGCGCGCAGGCGGUUAGGAAAGUCAGAUGUGAAAUUCCGGGGCUCAACCCCGGAGCUGCAUUUGAAACUUCCUUUCUAGAGUUUAGUUAGGGAAAUCGGAAUUCCACGUGUAGCGGUGAAAUGCGUAGAUAUGUGGAAGAACACCAGUGGUGAAGACGGAUUUCUGGGCUAUAACUGACGCUGAGGCGCGAAAGCAUGGGGAGCAAACAGG